Molecule: long non-coding RNA, 705 nt
Organism: Temnothorax curvispinosus
Lineage: Eukaryota; Metazoa; Arthropoda; Insecta; Hymenoptera; Formicidae
Exons: 3
Source: RefSeq, a predicted model, not a curated record
AGGUGAGGAAAAAAAUAUUAAAUCAUGUAUAGCAGACGCGUUACAAUUUUCAAGUAAAGAGUCUGACAGCGUCCUCUCAAAACAUCCGCAAAUGACAGAUAAUGCGAAAUAUUUCAAGGAAAUUCUUCGCCAGCAAAGUUUCUUUAAAACUCAGUUGUGACAGAUGGCAGAUGAUUUGAGAGAAAUAAAAACUAUGAUAACCGGUGAUGGAGGUUACUGUUUAGAACUUUGGCUGAUAACACUUAUCACAAAUGCACCAGAGAAAAGCGCAGAAGCACGAUACACACAAUGUCAUUGUUCUGUUAGAAAUUGUGUUGAAAGAAUGUUUGGUGUUUUAAAGAAUGUAUGGGAGAUGUCUUCUCAGUCAUCGUGUCUUACACUACGAUCCUAUAAUCGCAGCAAACAUAAUCGUAGCUUGUGCUGUAUUAUACAAUAUACGUUUUCAUUAUAAUCUUAUGAAUCAUGAAAUUGACAUUGAUGAAGAGGGUGAGGCUGCAGCUCAGCAAAGAGCAAUACUUCCAGAUGUUUUUCAAGUAUGUAAUCGUAUUGGAGCUCAAGCUAAAGAAAUAAAUAGAGCUAAUGAAGGAAAUAUAAAUUGUAAUGACAGGUUAACAGAAGCAAGAAAGAGUUCAAAGAAGAAUUCUUCGCACUCAGUUUGGUUUACGUCAAUAAGAAUAAACAAUAAGUUAUCAAAAUUAUUUUUAU